UGGGGAAUAUUGCACAAUGGACGGAAGUUUGAUGCAGCGACGCCGCGUGGAGGGUGUAGGCCUUCGGGUUGUGAACUCCUUUUUCUCGCGAAAAAGGCACAGUUUUGGCUGUGUUGAUGGUAGUGGGGGAAGAAGCGCCGGCUAACUACGUGCCAGCAGCCGCGGUAAUACGUAGGGCGCGAGCGUUGUCCGGAUUUAUUGGGCGUAAAGAGCUCGUAGGUGGUUCGUCGCAUCUGUCGUGAAAGCCAGCAGCUUAACUGUUGGUCUGCGGUGGGUACGGGCGGGCUUGAGUGCGGUAGGGGUGACUGGAAUUCCUGGUGUAGCGGUGGAAUGCGCAGAUAUCAGGAGGAACACCGAUGGCGAAGGCAGGUCACUGGGCCGUUACUGACACUGAGGAGCGAAAGCGUGGGGAGCGAACAGG
RNAcentral lists this ribosomal RNA (421 nucleotides) under Fusobacteriota bacterium. Its description in RNAcentral is "Fusobacteria bacterium partial 16S ribosomal RNA". It matches the Rfam family "Bacterial small subunit ribosomal RNA", at positions 355 to 776 of the family's 1533-position model. Lineage: Bacteria; Fusobacteriati; Fusobacteriota. The record is from RNAcentral.